This 320-nucleotide long non-coding RNA is filed under the name Gossypium raimondii (Peruvian cotton). RNAcentral describes it as "long non-coding RNA (GRAI_LNC009582)". The record is from RNAcentral. Lineage: Eukaryota; Viridiplantae; Streptophyta; Magnoliopsida; Malvales; Malvaceae.
UUUACGAGAUGUACUUUUAAUUUUGCUGUUAAACAAUAAUGGUCUCGACGGGUUUCUUCUUGUCAUAAACUAAAGGAACCUGCCAGAAGCAAAUAAAAGAAAAAUUAGAAAAAAAAAUUAAACUAAAAACAAAAAUAAAAUAAAAUAAAAAUAAAUUGCUAAAUUAAUAAAAAAUGAAGUGUUCCUAAUAUUUUAGUCCCCAACAACAGCGCCAAAAACUUGAUGGUCACUAAACUAACUAUAAUUAUGACAAAGGCAAGUGCACCUAUCGAACAAUAGUAUAGUUAUGGUGAAUAGGGAAUAUCGUAUCCAGGAUGACU